UACGGAGGGGGCGAGCGUUGUUCGGAAUUACUGGGCGUAAAGGGCGCGUAGGCGGUUUGGUAAGUUAGGUGUGAAAGACCUUGGCCCAACCAAGGAAUAGCAUUUAAAACUGCUGGGCUUGAGUAUAGGAGAGGAGAGUGGAAUUCCCAGUGUAGCGGUGAAAUGCGUAGAUAUUGGGAGGAACACCGGUGGCGAAGGCGACUCUCUGGACUAAUACUGACGCUGAGGCGCGAAAGCCAGGGGAGCGAACGGGAUUAGAUACCCCGGUAGUCCUGGCUGUAAACGAUGGACACUAGGUGUGGGAGGUAUCGAAUCCUUCUGUGCCGAAGCUAACGCAUUAAGUGUCCCGCCUGGGGAGUACGUUCGCAAGAAUGAA
This 376-nucleotide ribosomal RNA is filed under the name uncultured bacterium. RNAcentral's name for it is "bacterial SSU rRNA". It matches the Rfam family "Bacterial small subunit ribosomal RNA", at positions 524 to 898 of the family's 1533-position model. The record is from RNAcentral.